This 253-nucleotide ribosomal RNA is filed under the name uncultured bacterium. RNAcentral's name for it is "partial 16S ribosomal RNA". It matches the Rfam family "Bacterial small subunit ribosomal RNA", at positions 524 to 776 of the family's 1533-position model. The record is from RNAcentral.
UACGGGGGGAGCAAGCGUUGUCCGGAAUUAUUGGGCGUAAAGGGCUCGUAGGCGGUCUGUUGCGUCGGGAGUGAAAACUCAGGGCUUAACCCUGAGCCUGCUUCCGAUACGGGCAGACUAGAGGUAUGCAGGGGAGAACGGAAUUCCUGGUGUAGCGGUGAAAUGCGCAGAUAUCAGGAGGAACACCGGUGGCGAAGGCGGUUCUCUGGGCAUUACCUGACGCUGAGGAGCGAAAGUGUGGGGAGCGAACAGG